Molecule: unclassified non-coding RNA, 332 nt
Filed under: soil metagenome
Description: partial contains 5.8S ribosomal RNA, internal transcribed spacer 2, and large subunit ribosomal RNA
Rfam family: 5.8S ribosomal RNA (bases 1-120)
Source: RNAcentral
GAUUAAGAACGCAGCAAAAUGCGAUAAGUAAUGUGAAUUGCAGAAUUCAGUGAAUCAUCGAAUCUUUGAACGCACAUUGCGCCCGCCAGUAUUCUGGCGGGCAUGCCUGUUCGAGCGUCAUUUCAACCCUCAAGCACAGCUUGGUGUUGGGACUCGCGUUAAUUCGCGUUCCCCAAAUUGAUUGGCGGUCACGUCGAGCUUCCAUAGCGUAGUAGUAAAACCCUCGUUACUGGUAAUCGUCGCGGCCACGCCGUUAAACCCCAACUUCUGAAUGUUGACCUCGGAUCAGGUAGGAAUACCCGCUGAACUUAAGCAUAUCAAUAAGCGGAGGA